CUGGGUAGUUGCCAUCGCAUUCAUCACACACAAAAAUCUAGAACAUUUCAUCACAGAUAAAAGUCUUUAUGAACAUAUCACACAUAAAACAGCCAUGGCAAGCAAGCAAUUCAUCAAACACCUGACGAGCAACAAAAAAAAAACGAAGAAAUCAGAUCUGGGUUCAAAUCACAAGUUGAGAUCGAAUCAUACCACGAUGGGCUUGAACUCCUUGGCAUGCUGGACCUUCUUGAGCUCGGUCUGGAGGCGACCCGUCCCCAUUGCUGCUCGACGCCGCCCUCUUCGCCUUCUGCACCCGGGAAGCGGCGUACGGGCGGAUCUGCACCCGACAGUUGGGGACGCAGCCGGCGGACGGAGGAGACGACGCCCAGCAGUUGAGGACGACGGAUCCGGCGCCAGGCGGACGGGGAUUGAGGCCGCGGCGCCGCCGCUCACCUCCUCCUCGCGGUCGAGGAUGCAGGCCGCCGAACUGCCGCUCGCC
RNAcentral lists this long non-coding RNA (481 nucleotides) under Oryza sativa aus subgroup. RNAcentral's name for it is "lncRNA OsNaBo_07g0017880". The record is from RNAcentral. Lineage: Eukaryota; Viridiplantae; Streptophyta; Magnoliopsida; Poales; Poaceae.